UACGUAGGGUGCGAGCGUUGUCCGGAAUUAUUGGGCGUAAAGAGCUUGUAGGUGGUUUGUCGCGUCUGCUGUGAAAAUCCGAGGCUCAACCUCGGACUUGCAGUGGGUACGGGCAGACUAGAGUGUGGUAGGGGAGACUGGAAUUCCUGGUGUAGCGGUGAAAUGCGCAGAUAUCAGGAGGAACACCGGUGGCGAAGGCGGGGUCUCUGGGCAGUAACUGACGCUGGAGGAGCGAAAGCGUGGGGAGCGAAACAGG
This 256-nucleotide ribosomal RNA is filed under the name uncultured bacterium. RNAcentral's name for it is "partial 16S ribosomal RNA". It matches the Rfam family "Bacterial small subunit ribosomal RNA", at positions 524 to 776 of the family's 1533-position model. The record is from RNAcentral.